Molecule: long non-coding RNA, 328 nt
Filed under: Homo sapiens (human)
Lineage: Eukaryota; Metazoa; Chordata; Mammalia; Primates; Hominidae
Description: non-protein coding lnc-EIF2AK3-4:56
Source: RNAcentral
GAAAUUGUGUUGACGCAGUCUCCAGGCACCCUGUCUUUGUCUCCAGGGGAAAGAGCCACCCUCUCCUGCAGGGCCAGUCAGAGUGUUAGCAGCAGCUACUUAGCCUGGUACCAGCAGAAACCUGGCCAGGCUCCCAGGCUCCUCAUCUAUGGUGCAUCCAGCAGGGCCACUGGCAUCCCAGACAGGUUCAGUGGCAGUGGGUCUGGGACAGACUUCACUCUCACCAUCAGCAGACUGGAGCCUGAAGAUUUUGCAGUGUAUUACUGUCAGCAGUAUGGUAGCUCACCUCGAUCACCUUCGGCCAAGGGACACGACUGGAGAUUAAACG